GUACACUCCUGCGGGAGGCAGCAGUGGGGAAUUUUGGACAAUGGGCGAAAGCCUGAUCCAGCAAUGCCGCGUGAGUGAAGAAGGCCUUCGGGUUGUAAAGCUCUUUUGUCAGGGAAGAAACGGUGAAAGCUAAUAUCUUUUGCUAAUGACGGUACCUGAAGAAUAAGCACCGGCUAACUACGUGCCAGCAGCCGCGGUAAUACGUAGGGUGCAAGCGUUAAUCGGAAUUACUGGGCGUAAAGCGUGCGCAGGCGGUUUUGUAAGUCUGAUGUGAAAUCCCCGGGCUCAACCUGGGAAUUGCAUUGGAGACUGCAAGGCUAGAAUCUGGCAGAGGGGGGUAGAAUUCCACGUGUAGCAGUGAAAUGCGUAGAUAUGUGGAGGAACACCGAUGGCGAAGGCAGCCCCCUGGGUCAAGAUUGACGCUCAUGCACGAAAGCGUGGGGAGCAAACAGGAUUAGAUACCCUGGUAGUCCCAUGAU
RNAcentral lists this ribosomal RNA (479 nucleotides) under uncultured organism. RNAcentral describes it as "partial 16S ribosomal RNA". It matches the Rfam family "Bacterial small subunit ribosomal RNA", at positions 331 to 801 of the family's 1533-position model. The record is from RNAcentral.